Molecule: small RNA, 2129 nt
Filed under: Pan troglodytes (chimpanzee)
Lineage: Eukaryota; Metazoa; Chordata; Mammalia; Primates; Hominidae
Description: retained intron
Source: RNAcentral
CGGAACAGCGGCCUCUGACACCAGCACAGCAAACCCGCUGGGAUCAAAGUGUACCAGUCGGCAGCAUGGCUACGAAAUGUGGGAACUGUGGACCCGGCUACUCCACCCCUCUGGAGGCCAUGAAAGGUAAUUGCCCAUGGUCUGAGAGCCAGCGCCCUACUACUGAUUCCACAGCUGGGGGUGGAGGGACUUCAGACCUAGCCCCCACCCUCUGGCACACCCAGCACUUCCCCUACCUUUCCUUCCCACCCUGCCGUCCCUGCUGCCUGCUUUCUACCCUGCAGGACCCAGGGAAGAGAUCGUCUACCUGCCCUGCAUUUACCGAAACACAGGCACUGAGGCCCCAGAUUAUCUGGCCACUGUGGAUGUUGACCCCAAGUCUCCCCAGUAUUGCCAGGUUAGGCGGGGCUUGGGCGCCAGCUACUUUGAGACCGUAGCUGCCCUCAUCCCUGGCCCUGGGCCCCCCCUUCCCAGCUCCAUCCUUCUUGGCCCUCCCUGGGGAUGCUUGUGCACGCUCAACCUGGGACAAGGGGAGUGCUGAAAUCCAGCUUGUGCCGUGCUUCCAAACCAAAAUGCAUCCACGGGGGCGCCUCUUCCAAAAGUGGACAGAGGCGUGGCCUGGGAGAGCACCACCUCUCCCUGCAUCCUAGGUCAUCCACCGGCUGCCCAUGCCCAACCUGAAGGACGAGCUGCAUCACUCAGGAUGGAACACCUGCAGCAGCUGCUUCGGUGAUAGCACCAAGUCGCGCACCAAGCUGGUGCUGCCCAGUCUCAUCUCCUCUCGUAUCUAUGUGGUGGACGUGGGCUCUGAGCCCCGGGCCCCAAAGCUGCACAAGGUCAUUGAGCCCGAGGACAUCCAUGCCAAGUGCGAACUGGCCUUUCUCCACACCAGCCACUGCCUGGCCAGCGGGGAAGUGAUGAUCAGCUCCCUGGGAGACGUCAAGGGCAAUGGCAAAGGGGGUUUUGUGCUGCUGGAUGGGGAGACGUUCGAGGUGAAGGGGACGUGGGAGAGACCUGGGGGUGCUGCACCGUCGGGCUAUGACUUCUGGUACCAGCCUCGACACAAUGUCAUGAUCAGCACUGAGUGGGCAGCUCCCAAUGUCUUACGAGAUGGCUUCAACCCCGCUGAUGUGGAGGCUGGACUGUACGGGAGCCACUUAUAUGUAUGGGACUGGCAGCACCAUGAGAUUGUGCAGACCCUGUCUCUAAAAGAUGGGCUUAUUCCCUUGGAGAUCCGCUUCCUGCACAACCCAGACGCUGCCCAAGGCUUUGUGGGCUGCGCACUCAGCUCCACCAUCCAGCGCUUCUACAAGAACGAGGGAGGUACAUGGUCAGUGGAGAAGGUGAUCCAGGUGCCCCCCAAGAAAGUGAAGGGCUGGCUGCUGCCCGAAAUGCCAGGCCUGAUCACCGACAUCCUACUCUCCCUGGACGACCGCUUCCUCUACUUCAGCAACUGGCUGCAUGGGGACCUGAGGCAGUAUGACAUCUCUGACCCACAGAGACCCCGCCUCACAGGACAGCUCUUCCUCGGAGGCAGCAUUGUUAAGGGAGGCCCUGUGCAAGUGCUGGAGGACCAGGAACUAAAGUCCCAGCCAGAGCCCCUAGUGGUCAAGGGAAAACGGGUGGCUGGAGGCCCUCAGAUGAUCCAGCUCAGCCUGGAUGGGAAGCGCCUCUAUAUCACCACGUCACUGUACAGUGCCUGGGACAAGCAGUUUUACCCUGAUCUCAUCAGGGAAGGCUCUGUGAUGCUGCAGGUUGAUGUAGACACAGUAAAAGGAGGGCUGAAGUUGAACCCCAACUUCCUGGUGGACUUCGGGAAGGAGCCCCUUGGCCCAGCCCUUGCCCAUGAGCUCCGCUACCCUGGGGGCGAUUGUAGCUCUGACAUCUGGAUUUGAACUCCACCCUCAUCACCCACACUCCCUAUUUUGGGCCCUCACUUCCUUGGGGACCUGGCUUCAUUCUGCUCUCUCUUGGCACCCGACCCUUGGCAGCAUGUACCACACAGCCAAGCUGAGACUGUGGCAAUGUGUUGAGUCAUAUACCUUUACUCACCACUGUUGCUUGUUGCUCACUGUGCUGCUUUUCCAUGAGCUCUUGGAGGCACCAAGAAAUAAACUGGCAACCCUGUC